RNAcentral lists this long non-coding RNA (1090 nucleotides) under Helianthus annuus (common sunflower). The record is from RNAcentral. Lineage: Eukaryota; Viridiplantae; Streptophyta; Magnoliopsida; Asterales; Asteraceae.
CUAAGAAGUGAUUACGGAAUCACUUACCUUGAGCGUCCAUUUUCGCAUUGGGUUCCUUGUCCCCUCUUGACCCGUUAGUCUUUCGUGCUUGAGUCCAUGUCCACAUGAUCCCUAAUGCUUUCAUUCUUUCGUGCUUGAGUCCACGUCCACAUGAUCCCUAAUGCUUUCAUGUUACCGCAAUCACAUCCUUGUUAGUGUAUACGAUUUCACAUCUAAAUGAUCAUAUCAAAAGCGUAACUCACAUUUGACUUUCAUGGUCAAGUCUAAUAAACAUAAAGCAUACAUCCAAAAACCACAUCUUUUUAGACUCAUGCAAUCCAUCACGUUAACGCAUAAAACACAUAUUAAUUUAGCACCUACCAUACGACACUAUGUACAUUUCGUACUUAUGAUGCUAAAGUACUUACAACCACAUGAUCACAUAAUCAUACUCGCAUACACAUUUGCUUACAUAUACUUUCACAUAUCAUACACCUUCGCUCUUAAUUACCUUGAGUCAAGCACAUCUAAUACAAGGUGAGCAUUACACCAUUCAAGCACAAGGUACAAGCUCCUAAUGCAUAAUUUUACCAAACCAUACAUUCAAUCCGAAUUCUCAUAUGGACUCCACCUUAAGCACACUUAACAUAUUAUUUUGCUAACGACUACACCAUAAACACCUUCUAUACAUACUACCCACAACUUUCAUACGAUUUCACAAUUUUGUUCUCUUAGGCAUUUCAUCGAACACUUGGCGGGUAUCACAUUUGUAAAACAUUAUGUACAAGCUUUUAAAGCGUGAUUCCUACUAAUUCUUCCCAUAACUUAUUAACAAUCAAUCAAGCUCAUAACAAUAUUUCGCCCUAACUACGGACAUAUGGUUGUGACACCAAUUGUUCAUAACAAGAUCAUCAAAAACAAUCAAAUUAACACGUAGAAAUCUCAAUAUUUCUAGCCAUUCCUUGACAUGCAAGUGGGUUUUGCCUAAUCCAUGUUCAUAUUCAAAAUUUAACAUAUCUUGAUGUCUACUCAGCCAUUGCAACCAUCAUUCAUACUAGAUUUAGCAUUACAUUCACGAAUUACACUAAACCCACUAAAUCAAACAUCACCA